CGGGGUGCAGCAGGCGCGAAAACUCUACAAUGCAGGCAACUGCGAUAGGGGGACAUCGAGUGGCAUCCACCUUGGGUGCCUGUCCCACCGUCUAAAAAACGGUGGUUAGCAAGGGUCGGGCAAGACCGGUGCCAGCCGCCGCGGUAAUACCGGCGGCUCGAGUGGUGGCCGAUAUUAUUGAGUCUAAAGGGUCCGUAGCCGGCUUUGCAAGUCCCCUGGGAAAUCCAGCGGCUUAACCGUUGGGCUUUCAUGGGAUACUACAUUGCUUGGGACUGGGAGAGGUAGGAGGUACUCGGGGGGUAGGGGUGAAAUCCUGUAAUCCCCCGGGGACCACCGGUGGCGAAGGCGUCCUACCAGAACAGGUCCGACGGUGAGGGGCGAAAGCUAGGGGCACGAACCGGAUUAGAUACCCGGGUAGUCCUAGCCGUAAACGAUGCCCGCUAGGUGUCACGGCGGUCGUGAAUCGCCGUGGUGCCGUAGGGAAGCCGCGAAGCGGGCCACUUGGGAAGUACGGCCGCAAGGCUGAAACUUAAAGGAAUUGGCGGGGGAGCACAAGGGCGAUUCGCGG
This 568-nucleotide ribosomal RNA is filed under the name uncultured archaeon. RNAcentral describes it as "bacterial SSU rRNA". It matches the Rfam family "Archaeal small subunit ribosomal RNA", at positions 326 to 900 of the family's 1478-position model. The record is from RNAcentral.